CAGGGAGACAACAAAAUGUUUAAUAUUAUUAUUUUGUCACCUUAGGUCGAUCGGUAUCUCACGUUCUUAAUUUGUUAAGAAUUUCAUUUCCUAAGUUUUUCUAGGUCACACCCAUUAUUUUUCCUGGGCCAUUAGCUCAGGUGGUUAGAGCGCACCCCUGAUAAGGGUGAGGUCCCUGGUUCAAGUCCAGGAUGGCCCAUAUCUCUAUGUUGGGGGUAUAGCUCAGUUGGUAGAGCGCCUGCUUUGCAAGCAGGAUGUCAGCGGUUCGAGUCCGCUUACCUCCACUGAUUACCACCUCUUCCAUAACCGGUAGAAAGGAAAUGUUUUGAGUUGUGAUCAUUAUUCUGAACGAAUCUAGCUUCCUAAUGAAAUCAUUAAGAUGCUGGACUCAUUGAAUUAAUUUCAUUGUUUUCAGAGAACCUUGACAACUGCAUAGAUUUUUUUAAAGACAAUAAGCAUCUUUAAUGAUGCAGAUUUAUUAUUUGUGCGAAAGCAUUAAUAACAAUUCUAUUAAGCUGAUGCUUCAAUUUUUGAAGUUAUU
Molecule: transfer RNA, 541 nt
Filed under: uncultured cyanobacterium
Lineage: Bacteria; Bacillati; Cyanobacteriota
Also listed under: 1 other name
Description: partial 16S-23S ribosomal RNA intergenic spacer
Rfam family: tRNA (bases 212-284)
Source: RNAcentral